RNAcentral lists this ribosomal RNA (447 nucleotides) under uncultured bacterium. RNAcentral describes it as "bacterial SSU rRNA". It matches the Rfam family "Bacterial small subunit ribosomal RNA", at positions 355 to 825 of the family's 1533-position model. The record is from RNAcentral.
UCGGGAAUUUUGGGCAAUGGGCGAAAGCCUGACCCAGCAACGCCGCGUGAAGGAUGAAGUAUUUCGGUAUGUAAACUUCGUAAGAAUAGGAAGAAUAAAUGACGGUACUAUUUGUAAGGUCCGGCUAACUACGCGCCAGCAGCCGCGGUAAUACGUAGGGACCAAGCGUUGUUCGGAUUUACUGGGCGUAAAGGGCGCGUAGGCGGUGUGUCAAGUCAGUUGUGAAAUCUCCGAGCUUAACUCGGAACGGUCAACUGAUACUGUCACACUAGAGUACAGAAGGGGCAAUCGGAAUUCUUGGUGUAGCGGUGAAAUGCGUAGAUAUCAAGAGGAACACCUGAGGCGAAGGCGGGUUGCUGGGCUGAUACUGACGCUGAGGCGCGAAAGCUAGGGUAGCAAACGGGAUUAGAUACCCUCGUAGUCCCUGAGCGGGCUGGCAAGGCGCAU